AACCGGAAACAGUACACAAUCGGUCAUGGCCAACAGCAUGUAACUGAACUGUGGGACUGAAAUCAAGUUUCCCGUUUUAAUUGAGCUGUUUUACCGGUUUUGUACGAGUUAAUAUUUUUUUUUAGAAGCUGACGGACAAGCGAGUUUUCCACCGGAGAUGGGAGUCCCGGCGUUUUUCCGCUGGCUUAGCCGCAAAUACGCGUCAAUAAUUGUGCAUUGUGUUGAGGAGAAGGGGAAAGAAUGUAAUGGAGUCCGUAUUCCUGUUGAUACAACCAAGCCAAACCCCAACGAGGUGGAAUUCGACAAUUUGUACUUGGACAUGAACGGGAUCAUUCACCCUUGUACACAUCCAGAGGACAAAGCUGCUCCCAAAAAUGAAGAUGAGAUGAUGGUUGCCAUUUUUGAGUACAUUGACCGCCUGUUCAAUAUUGUGCGACCCAGGAGAGUUCUUUAUAUGGCCAUUGAUGGAGUGGCUCCAAGGGCCAAAAUGAACCAGCAGCGCUCUCGGCGUUUUCGUGCCUCCAAAGAAGGAGUGGAAUUGGUGGAUGAGAAGAAUCGCAUAAGGGAGGAGAUCCUGGCGAGAGGAGGAUAUCUUCCACCUGAGGAGAUUAAAGAGAGGUUUGACAGCAACUGUAUCACUCCGGGAACAGAGUUCAUGGACAACUUGGCAAAGUGUCUUCGGUACUACGUCGCAGACAGAGUCAGCAAUGAUCCUGGAUGGAGGAAUGUCACAGUCUUUCUGUCUGAUGCCAGUGUUCCCGGUGAAGGUGAACACAAGAUUAUGGACUACAUCAGGAGACAGAGAGCUCAACCCAACCACGACCCCAACACUCACCACUGCCUGUGUGGAGCUGAUGCUGACCUGAUCAUGCUGGGUCUGGCCACCCACGAGCCAAACUUCACCAUCAUCAGAGAGGAGUUUAAACCCAACAAACCCCGUCCCUGCGCACUCUGUGGACAGAUUGGUCAUGAAAUCAAAGAUUGUCAAGGGACGGCCAGAGAGAAACAGGGAGAGCAUGAUGAGUUUGCAGACUCAAUGCCAGUGUCUGAACAGGAGUUCAUAUUUAUCAGGCUCUGUGUACUGCGGGAGUACCUCGCCAGAGAACUGACCAUGGCCAGCCUGCCGUUUCCCUUUGACUUUGAGAGGAGCAUCGAUGACUGGGUCUUUAUGUGUUUCUUUGUUGGAAAUGACUUCCUACCACACCUGCCGUCCUUAGAAAUCAGAGAGGGUGCGAUUGAUCGACUGGUCAACAUCUACAAAGACGUUGUGCAUAAAACUGGAGGCUACCUGACAGAGAAUGGUUUUGUCAAUCUGGAGCGAGUUGAGCUGAUCAUGCAGGCGGUGGGCGUGGCUGAGGACAACAUCUUUAAGAAACGCAAAGAGGACGAUGAAGGCUUUAAGAGAAGAAUGAAAGAAAAACGAAAGAGGAUGAAGAUAGAACAGCGAGGUCCAGCCUACAUGACCACAGGCCAGUUUGCCCCUCAGGCUCUCGGGAGAAGAGACCGACCUGAGGCUGUCCAGAAUGCUCGGCACCAGGCCUACGACAUGAGGAUGCAGUCCAGGGAGCAACACAACAAGGAUGCUGCUCAGUCCCUGAAAGCCUCGUUGAAGAACGGUGGCAAUUCUUCUGCAGGGCCCAGCGACAGCACAGACAGCAAGGGGUUGAAGAGGAAAGCUGAUGACAGUGACAGCGAGCCGGAGCCUGAAGACAACGUCAGGUUGUGGGAGGAGGGCUGGAAGCAGAGAUACUACAAGACCAAGUUUGACGUGGACGUGACGGAUGAGGAUUUCAGGCGGAAGGUGGUUAAGUCGUACGUGGAGGGUCUCUGCUGGGUGCUGCGCUACUACUACCAGGGCUGUGCCUCCUGGAAGUGGUACUUCCCAUUCCACUACGCUCCGUUCGCCUCCGACUUCAAAGACAUCAAAGGGAUGUUCACCGAGUUUGAGAAGGGGACCAAACCGUUCAAGCCACUGGAGCAGCUGAUGGGAGUGUUUCCUGCUGCCAGCGGCAACUUCCUGCCCCCGACGUGGCGAAGCCUCAUGAGCAGUCCUGAUUCUUCCAUCAUCGACUUCUACCCCGACGACUUUGCCAUUGAUCUCAAUGGCAAGAAAUACGCCUGGCAGGGUGUGGCCUUGCUACCUUUUGUGGAUGAACGUCGGCUGAGGGCAGCUCUGGCUGACGUCUACCCCGACCUGACACCUGAGGAAGUGAAACGAAACAGCCUGGGAAGCGACGUGUUGUUUCUCGGGAAGUCUCACCCUCUCUUCGACUUCAUCCAAGAACUCUACCGUACAGAAUCUCUAGAGGGCACUGAGAUCCCUGCAGAGCUGUGCCAUGGAAUCCAAGGUACAUUAAAUCUUGAUGACGACCCUAUUCUACCAGAUAAGCCGGUGACAUCACCCAUCCCAAUGCUGCGUGACAUUUCACAGAACAGUGCAAUUGGGGUGAAGUUCAAGGAUCCCCAUUACGCAGAUGACUUUGUGUUCAAGGCGGUCCUCCUUUCUGGAGCUAAGAUGCCCAAUAAGGUCCUGAAGCCAGGAGACUGGGAGAGGGGGAACAGGGAACCAUGGAGACCCCAGCUGGGCUUCAAUCCAAACAGGCAGCAGGCUCACCUGGACCAGUCCGGCUUCCGUGCUCUGGGUCACAAUAUGAACAGAAACCAACAUGGCAGAGGACAGUACAGCAACGCGCCUCCACCAGGCAACUACCAACAAGGAAACUACCGUCAACACAGCGGGGGCCAGCAGUCUUACCAACAUUCCAGGCAGAACAGCUUGCUGGGAGCGCCUCCCCCCUUCCAGCAGCCCCAAUUUCCAAGGGAUUUUUCAGAAGCUGACAGGUUCAGUGUGUUCGUGUCUCCAGACAGCAGCAGCACCAGUACGGAAGUGGGGGUCACGGUUGGGAUCGGGCCCAGCAGUCGCAGCAGUCGGCAUACCAGCAGAACGUGAACCGCGGACGGGGAGGGGCCGGGCAAGGCAGCUACCAGCAGCGCUUCGAUAACCGUAGAGACGACUGGCAUGAUCGCAGAGACAACCGGGGACAACAGCAUCAGUAAAAGUAGCAAAGAGCUGAAGUUCGGUGUGGCUGAACUUCUCGUCCAGGUUGGAUUCUCCGAUCAGAGCUGAACCGUCUUCACAGUUCACUCAACUUGUUUUGAGAUUAAUGAAAUUCCUUUUGUGGUGAUCGUAUCGUUAGUGACGUGAAAACAGAAUUCACAAUCUCAAAUUUUAAUCCUGUUUUUACAUUUUGAUUUCUUAUUCUCUAAAAAGCAUCCAGAUUUAUGCUGCAUAUUUCUGGAUUCAAUUUAUCUGUCGAUUGUUGUUUUAUUAAUCUGAGUUUAUAAAAUGUCAGCAGACUCUAAAACAGAUGCUCAUUUCACAAACAAGAGUCUCAAACCUUCACAAGCUGCAACCAUCAAAUGUUUGACUUUUUUGCUCAAUAAAUGACUUGAAAUGAUUAAUCACUUAUCAACAAUUACUGACACUUCACUUUAUAUUAAUCAACUAACUGUUUUGACUCCAUUAUGUUGAUAUUUUGUUUUUGUAAAUUUGAACACAUUUUAAGAUUUCAGGAUAUUUUAAACAGAAUCAUGAAACACCUAAAACUCAACUGACCAUUUUUAAUCAACACACAUGCAGACUGUCUUCUGAUGGUGGUAGUAAUAUGAUGGUUUAUAUCUGACUUGUGUUAGUCUUCUUUUACUCAAAUGAAAUGGGAAGUUCAGUGUAAAAAAAUAAAAAAAUGUGUUUGGUUUCAUGCAGCUGAAACAGAACAGUUUGUUACUGAUCAACCAGGGAUUUAAUCAGAUUUAGUUCACAAAAAAAUAACUUCUUUUCUCACUGAAAUCUCCAAUAAUAUCAGUCUAUGCGUUUCUGUCUGAGGUUUCUGUCAUCACCCCAAACCAGUGGAGAAUGCAUUUUUGGUUUGUGAUGCUCUCAAAAAGAAAAAAUGUUUUAUAAUAAUCCAAAAUUCACUGUCUGUGGUUGUAAUGAGGAAUAUUUCUCCAGUAGAAAAUAGUUCCAAUGAUAAAAAUGAUUUUAAAAAAUUGUAGUUUGUAGUAAACUGACCUCCAAUAGACAAAAUAAAAAUGUAUCACUCAUCAAACACAUAAAAUGUUUCAAAAUAAAACCUCAAACUUGGUCAUUUGUUACUUGUCAAUUAGCUUUAGAGUCUGUGAAUAAAGUUUUGUUUUUGUUUUUUUAAUUAAUUUUAUGUCUUUCAACAUAAAACAGUUCUGUUUUUAAGUGUAUUGAUUCAUGUGAUUAAAAAUGUCUCUAGCAAAAAAAAAUAAGGUGGGGGGGGAACAGAAAUUGAAAUUGAAUUAAAGAUAAAAGUCCACUCACUGUUGGAGAUAAUUUGCAUUAAUGUAAUCCCCAAACUUGGAUAUACUUGUAACUAUGUUUAUUUUUCGGUAGAUGUAUUUAAUCACUGUAGCUGUGGUAUUAUUUACAUCUUCUUUCUUAAACACAGAGCUUGUUCUACUGUAUAUUUCUUGUCUUUCAGGGCUACAGCUCUGGCAGAGGUUACCCUCCUCCUCCUCCAUCCAGAAGAUAUAACUGGAAAUAAACUCAAAGUAAUGUUGGACUUUGGGGUUUCAAUUGGGGGAGGGCAGGGUGACUAUUUGUAGGGGAGACGUGAUCUUUUUUCAUUUUAUUGUCUUCUUGUAAAAUUCAAUGUGGGUUUUUUUUCUUUUUAUUCUACUUACAACUUAUUAUGUAACUUGUGAUUUUUAAGAUGAACAGCCUGUAAAACUUGUAAAAUACAAGUGAGUCACGGACAAAGUGUCCCGCUGUGUUUACUUUUGAGAGAAGUCCCUCCAAAGUGAUCUAAUGUGUUUAAAACAAAAUGAAAUAAAACAUUGAUGUUGGGAUUA
Dicentrarchus labrax (European seabass) is the source of this 4875-nucleotide RNA transcript. It is a transcript of the gene named 5'-3' exoribonuclease 2, with no coding region annotated. The transcript has 31 exons. The record is from RefSeq and is a predicted model, not a curated record. Lineage: Eukaryota; Metazoa; Chordata; Actinopteri; Moronidae.